AUGCAGUCGAGCGGAACGANAAUAGCUUGCUAUUNGGCGUCGAGCGGCGGACGGGUGAGUAAUGCUUGGGAAUAUGCCUUUGAGUGGGGGACAACAGUUGGAAACGACUGCUAAUACCGCAUAACGUCUACGGACCAAAGGGGGGGACGCUUCGGCACCUCUCGCUCAUUGAUUANCCCAAGUGAGAUUAGCUAGUUGGUAAGGUAAUGGCUUACCAAGGCGACGAUCUCUAGCUGGUUUGAGAGGAUGAUCANCCACACUGGGACUGANACACGGCCCANACUCCUACGGGAGGCAGCAGUGGGGAAUAUUGCACAAUGGGCGAAAGCCUGAUGCAGCCAUGCCGCGUGUGUGAAGAAGGCCUUCGGGUUGUAAAGCACUUUCAGCGAGGAGGAAAGGUUAGUANUUAAUAACUGCUAGCUGUGACGUUACUCGCANAAGAAGCACCGGCUAACUUCGUG
Molecule: ribosomal RNA, 461 nt
Filed under: Colwellia sp. SJ1812
Lineage: Bacteria; Pseudomonadati; Pseudomonadota; Gammaproteobacteria; Alteromonadales; Colwelliaceae
Description: bacterial SSU rRNA
Rfam family: Bacterial small subunit ribosomal RNA
Source: RNAcentral